UACGGAAGGCAGCAGUGGGGAAUAUUGCACAAUGGGCGCAAGCCUGAUGCAGCCAUGCCGCGUGUAUGAAAAAGGCCUUCGGGUUGUAAAGUACUUUCAGUCGUGAGGAAGGUGUUAAGGUUAAUAACCUUAGCAAUUGACGUUAGCGACAGAAGAAGCACCGGCUAACUCCGUGCCAGCAGCCGCGGUAAUACGGAGGGUGCGAGCGUUAAUCGGAAUUACUGGGCGUAAAGGGCACGCAGGCGGUUAAUUAAGUUGGAUGUGAAUCCCCGGGCUUAACCUGGGAAUGGCAUUCAAGACUGGUUAGCUAGAGUCUUGUAGAGGGGGUAGAAUUCCAUGUGUAGCGGUGAAAUGCGUAGAGAUGUGGAGGAAUACCGGUGGCGAAGGCGGCCCCGUGGACAAAGACUGACGCUCAUGUGCGAAAGCGUGGGGAGCAAACGAGGGAUUAGAUACC
RNAcentral lists this ribosomal RNA (454 nucleotides) under uncultured bacterium. RNAcentral describes it as "bacterial SSU rRNA". It matches the Rfam family "Bacterial small subunit ribosomal RNA", at positions 340 to 786 of the family's 1533-position model. The record is from RNAcentral.